GUGCGAGACCGAUAGCGAACAAGUACCGUGAGGGAAAGAUGAAAAGAACUUUGAAAAGAGAGUUAAAGAGUACCUGAAACUGCUGAAAGGGAAGCGAAUCGUAUCCAGUGUCUAUAAUCUGCGGCAUAUUUCAUUGGCGGCAGUGUGCGUGCUUUUGCGUCGGAAGCGGCUUUUGUUGCUCUGUGCCUUUGCUGUGCGUGCUGUUGCUGGUGCCCUGUGUUGCGGUGGGACGUCAGAGUCAGUUCGUAUGCUGCGGGAAAUGGCCGCCGAGGAGGUAGGUCAGGACUUCGGUCUUGGCUGUUAUAUCUUGGUGGAUUGUUGUCGUGGUUGGGACUGAGGUGCCUACAAUGUGCUUUUGAGUGUGCCGGGUUCUCAUUUGGUGGACUGUUUGGAUAGCUUGCUAUGCUUGUGGUUUUUUCAUCGAGUGAUUGAGUCUGGUGGUAACUUGUUGCUGUUCGGGACUUUGA
This 467-nucleotide ribosomal RNA is filed under the name uncultured Oomycota. Its description in RNAcentral is "LSU rRNA". It matches the Rfam family "Eukaryotic large subunit ribosomal RNA", at positions 326 to 629 of the family's 3401-position model. Lineage: Eukaryota; Oomycota. The record is from RNAcentral.